This 206-nucleotide ribosomal RNA is filed under the name uncultured bacterium. Its description in RNAcentral is "partial 16S ribosomal RNA". It matches the Rfam family "Bacterial small subunit ribosomal RNA", at positions 568 to 774 of the family's 1533-position model. The record is from RNAcentral.
CGCGCAGGUGGUUGAUUAAGUCUGAUGCGAAAGCCCACGGCUUAACCGUGGAGGGUCAUUGGAAACUGGUCGACUUGAGUGCAGAAGAGGGAAGUGGAAUUCCAUGUGUAGCGGUGAAAUGCGUAGAGAUAUGGAGGAACACCAGUGGCGAAGGCGGCUUCCUGGUCUGUAACUGACACUGAGGCGCGAAAGCGUGGGAGCAAACA